UGCGGAUUGGUGUAAUAGUAACAUACUUGGCUCAUGUCCGACAGAUAUAGGUGCAAAUCCUGUGUCCGCAU
Molecule: transfer RNA, 71 nt
Organism: Sordaria macrospora k-hell
Lineage: Eukaryota; Fungi; Ascomycota; Sordariomycetes; Sordariales; Sordariaceae
Rfam family: tRNA
About the family: Transfer RNA (tRNA) molecules are approximately 80 nucleotides in length. Their secondary structure includes four short double-helical elements and three loops (D, anti-codon, and T loops). Further hydrogen bonds mediate the characteristic L-shaped molecular structure. tRNAs have two regions of fundamental functional importance: the anti-codon, which is responsible for specific mRNA codon recognition, and the 3' end, to which the tRNAs corresponding amino acid is attached (by aminoacyl-tRNA synthetases). tRNAs cope with the degeneracy of the genetic code in two manners: having more than one tRNA (with a specific anti-codon) for a particular amino acid; and 'wobble' base-pairing, i.e. permitting non-standard base-pairing at the 3rd anti-codon position.
Source: Rfam